AUCACCAUGGUGACUUACAAGCAACUUACUGUACUUUGAUGCCAGACUAUUUGAAUUUUUAAUUCAGUAAUAAAAGAUUUUUGAUGUAGUCAAGUACUUGUUAAGUCAGUGCGUGAGUCAAAAUAGGAUUGACCCCUCCGAAUAAGGAGUUAAUGUAUUAAUAUAUUUUAAUUUAGUAAAAUCUAGACUUGGAUAAUCUAUAUGGUAAAUUUGAAAGAUUGAAAUACAAUAUAGAUGACUUAUCUAAGCUUGAUAGUG
Molecule: long non-coding RNA, 258 nt
Filed under: Elaeis guineensis (African oil palm)
Lineage: Eukaryota; Viridiplantae; Streptophyta; Magnoliopsida; Arecales; Arecaceae
Description: long non-coding RNA (EGUI_LNC054596)
Source: RNAcentral